Panicum virgatum (switchgrass) is the source of this 2053-nucleotide long non-coding RNA. RefSeq lists it as uncharacterized. The transcript has 6 exons. Lineage: Eukaryota; Viridiplantae; Streptophyta; Magnoliopsida; Poales; Poaceae. The record is from RefSeq and is a predicted model, not a curated record.
AAAAAAUCAUCAAGCCCGCCGAGCCCAUCGAGCACCGCCGCCGGCGGAUCCUGCCGGUGGAGGAGCUCGGCCAUGCCACCCGCCGUGGCCGCUGGUUCCGGCCGGUGGAGGGGCUUGGCCGUCGCGCUAUGGGAGAGAGAGGGACGGGAGGAGAUGGGGAGGGUUGGGAGGAUGUUGCGGGUGGAAGAGAGAGAGGGAGGGGAGAAGAGUGCUCCGAUCCCCUCCCUAUCCCACCGACAUCUCCACCGGGGCCGCCCCUCCCUUCAGAUCAGAGCCGCCGGCGGCGGCUACUAGAUCGUCUCCAAGGCCAGAAGCUAGCCGUCGCGGAUCAAGAUCCGGCGUCACGGGCGCACGGCCAGCUUCUCGGUGCGGCGGCGAGUGCUCCGAGCACGGCGGCAUGCGGGGCAGCGACGGCGGCAAGAGGCCGAGGCCCUCCAUGUGGAUCUCGGCGACCCGAUCCGCCUCCCCACGUCCGCCUCGAGCCCCACGGCCUCCUCCCCGCCGACAAGGUCGCCAUCAUCGUCAUGCACAAGAUAAUGGGACGGCUGAUGUCCAGCAAGGAUGGCACCGGCAGCAUCCGCUUCAUACAGGCCGCGCACUGCAUCGGCGAGGCUGUCGAGUGCGAGAGGGUUAAUCAAGCUUGGAUAGCUAAUUGGAGGUAGAGGAACUGGUGAGCGCAUUAUGCAAGUAAUACCAUGUGCAACCUAAACUAAAAUGUGCAAUUAUAUAUCUCAGAAGUGCUAUGUUGCGACCAUGAUCUGAAUUUUGAUCUACCAUAUGCAUGAAUACAUGCAUACAUGCCAUGUAUCUGUAAUUUGAUCGCUGAAUGUUGAUGGCAAUUUAGCCCACUUGACAUUGUGUGCGAUAGCUAGCGUAUGCCUAUUUGUGUCUGUGCAUGGAAAAGCUUAGUGGAGUUAAUAAUUGGAACUAUUAAAGUAAUUUUGAAUCUGUCUUCUUGUAGAGUCAGUUGACCUUGUGCACUAGAGUUUAGCUUCCGUACUUUUGGUAAAGUACUGAAGUUCGACUACAUCAUUUAGAGUAACUUAAUACUAUUUUUGGUUCUUGCUUUCCCAUUCAUGUUCCAUAGUGAAAAUUUAUUUGGCAGUCCACUGAGAGCUGGUGUUUUCCCUUCCUUUGUUUACAAUUCUUAGUCCAGACAUUCUUUCAGAAAAGUAGGAAGAAGAAAGAUCAAGGUGACAAUGAUCCAGCAUUGGGGAAGGAGCAAGCAAAAUGCUGGAAACAUGUUAAUAAUUUAGUUAGGAGGCCGAAGAUGAGUGACGCAGAUGCUGGUAAAGUGGGAGUUGGAAUUGGAGGAAUGGGACACAGAAGCCCAAGUGAAGUUGGGAACUCGUCUGAUUGAAUUAUUACUGGAUUGAGCAUUUGUUCAAUCACCCGCUGAUCAAACACUAGAUAGCUCUCCAGAUGUUCAACCUGCAUUUAAGCUUGUAAUACGACAGCCUAUAAUAGAAAAUGGGUUGUGCUUCUUCUUUACAAUUGUGCUGCAUAGGUUGCACUAACAUGCCUAGUUCCAUCAACAUCGUCUGCUUAGGCAUGUUUAUGGAUAUAUGAUGAUUCUUCAGUGACAUAUCUCAUCAACCUGCAGGAAGCUAAUGAAGAAACAUUGGGUGAUGGAAUGUGACCAUCUUGUGCGUGAGGGCUUUGAAAGCAUGGUUGCAGGCUGACGGGAGGGGACCUGCUUCAUCUCGCUUCAAUCCGCCCAGUGCAAGGUUCAUGGUGAUUUACUGUUCUCUCAUGAUCAGCAACAGAUUCUUAUUACCAAAGCAGUCUUACGUAUCCUUGCUUCAUGUGAACAAAUAAUUUGGAGAUUUGGAAGAUCAAGCAAUGAGUGCAAAGAGAAGGAAGGCCCAAAGAAAGAUAGUUUUAGAAAUUACAGUGAAAAUUAGAAAUAUUUGUAUGAUAUCGCCACUUUUUCUUUUUCUUUUUUUAUUUUUACUAACGCCCUUGUGUCUACCUGCUAAUUUGUAUGAAUCUCUUGAUUGUUGAAUUACGUGGUUCCUAUUUUAAUGUACUUACAGUGAUAUGGAUCAUUUUA